Molecule: unclassified non-coding RNA, 314 nt
Filed under: plant metagenome
Description: partial contains 5.8S ribosomal RNA, internal transcribed spacer 2, and large subunit ribosomal RNA
Rfam family: 5.8S ribosomal RNA (bases 1-105)
Source: RNAcentral
GAAACGCGAUAGUUAAUGUGAAUUGCAGAACUCAGUGAAUCAUCGAGUCUUUGAACGCACAUUGCGCCCAUAGGUAUUCCUUUGGGCAUGUCUGUUUGAGCGUCAUUACAACCCUCAGCUAACCGCUGGUUUUGAACCUGAACGGGUGACACCGCGCCGGUUUUAAAGUUGUAAGCUCUGCUGGCCACUCUGCCCAACCAGAACAUAGUAAGCACUACUUGUCCGGGUGAAGCUGAACGGUACGGCCUGAACAAAACCUACCCACUCUCAAGGUUUGACCUCAGAUCAGACAAGGAUACCCGCUGAACUUAAGC